Molecule: ribosomal RNA, 303 nt
Filed under: uncultured bacterium
Lineage: Bacteria
Description: partial 16S ribosomal RNA
Rfam family: Bacterial small subunit ribosomal RNA
Source: RNAcentral
AGCAGCAGCCGCGGUAAUACAGAGGGUGCGAGCGUUAAUCGGAUUUACUGGGCGUAAAGCGUGCGUAGGCGGCUUUUUAAGUCGGAUGUGAAAUCCCUGAGCUUAACUUAGGAAUUGCAUUCGAUACUGGGAAGCUAGAGUAUGGGAGAGGAUGGUAGAAUUCCAGGUGUAGCGGUGAAAUGCGUAGAGAUCUGGAGGAAUACCGAUGGCGAAGGCAGCCAUCUGGCCUAAUACUGACGCUGAGGUACGAAAGCAUGGGGAGCAAACAGGAUUAGAGACCCCUGUAGUCCCUGUCUCUUAUAC